This 294-nucleotide ribosomal RNA is filed under the name Triticum aestivum (bread wheat). RNAcentral describes it as "partial small subunit ribosomal RNA". The record is from RNAcentral. Lineage: Eukaryota; Viridiplantae; Streptophyta; Magnoliopsida; Poales; Poaceae.
CCACCAGCAGGUUUUGCCAAAAUCAAUGUUGAUGCCGGCGUCGCACGGCACAAUAGGGGAGGAACGGCGGCGGCAAUCUGCAGGGAUGAUAGUGGCAGUUACUUGGGCAGCUCAACAUUGGUAAUCCCGGGGGUUUGUGAUGUGGUGACACUGGAAGCAAUCGCUUGCAGGGAAGCACUAGCGCUGGCUGAAGAUCUGCACAUUCAUGAGUUCAUCAUAGCUUCAGAUUCAAGACAAGCGAUCAACGACAUAAACAAUAGCUACAGAGGAAAGUAUGGCGCGAUUAAUUUUUAG